AGACUUUUAGGUUAUAUUUAGACCUUUAGCCUUCAAAGCUAAAAGAGAAAAUUAUUUUCAAAGUCUG
RNAcentral lists this transfer RNA (67 nucleotides) under Stylochus stellae. RNAcentral's name for it is "tRNA-Trp". The record is from RNAcentral. Lineage: Eukaryota; Metazoa; Platyhelminthes; Polycladida; Stylochidae.